UGAAGCCUCUAUCUGUGGCAGCGUGCCCAUC
RNAcentral lists this small RNA (31 nucleotides) under Bombyx mori (domestic silkworm). Its description in RNAcentral is "ovarian small RNA-30934". The record is from RNAcentral. Lineage: Eukaryota; Metazoa; Arthropoda; Insecta; Lepidoptera; Bombycidae.